UGGGGGAUAUUGCACAAUGGGCGAAAGCCUGAUGCAGCGACGCCGCGGGGGGGAUGAAGGCCUUCGGGUUGUAAACUUCUUUUGCUCUGAACAAGGCAUGCCUUUGGGGUGUGUUGAGUGUAGGGGUUGAUUAGCGCCGGCUAACUACGUGCCAGCAGCCGCGGUAAUACGUAGGGCGCGAGCGUUGUCCGGAAUUAUUGGGCGUAAAGGGCUUGUAGGUGGCUGGUUGCGUCUGUCGUGAAAGCUCAUGGCUUAACUGUGGGUUUGCGGUGGGUACGGGCUGGCUUGAGUGCAGUAGGGGAGGCUGGAAUUCCUGGUGUAGCGGUGGAAUGCGCAGAUAUCAGGAGGAAUACCGGUGGCGAAGGCGGGUCUCUGGGCUGUUACUGACGCUGAGGGGCGAAAGCGUGGGGAGCGAACAGG
Molecule: ribosomal RNA, 420 nt
Filed under: Fusobacteriota bacterium
Lineage: Bacteria; Fusobacteriati; Fusobacteriota
Description: Fusobacteria bacterium partial 16S ribosomal RNA
Rfam family: Bacterial small subunit ribosomal RNA
Source: RNAcentral